GCGCAAGUGGUUUAGUGGUAAAAUCCAACGUUGCCAUCGUUGGGCCCCCGUUCGAUUCCGGCUUGCAUC
Molecule: transfer RNA, 69 nt
Filed under: Saccharomyces cerevisiae (brewer's yeast)
Lineage: Eukaryota; Fungi; Ascomycota; Saccharomycetes; Saccharomycetales; Saccharomycetaceae
Rfam family: tRNA
About the family: Transfer RNA (tRNA) molecules are approximately 80 nucleotides in length. Their secondary structure includes four short double-helical elements and three loops (D, anti-codon, and T loops).
Source: RNAcentral